RNAcentral lists this ribosomal RNA (206 nucleotides) under uncultured bacterium. Its description in RNAcentral is "partial 16S ribosomal RNA". It matches the Rfam family "Bacterial small subunit ribosomal RNA", at positions 568 to 774 of the family's 1533-position model. The record is from RNAcentral.
CGUGUAGGCGGCCAAACAGGUCCGUUGUGAAAACUGGAGGCUUAACCUUCAGACGUCGACGGAAACCGUGUGGCUAGAGUCCGGAAGAGGAGAGUGGAAUUCCUGGUGUAGCGGUGAAAUGCGCAGAUAUCAGGAAGAACACCAAUGGCGAAGGCAGCUCUCUGGGACGGUACUGACGCUGAGACGCGAAAGCGUGGGAGCGAACA